UGUGCCGGCCGCCACUGC
RNAcentral lists this unclassified non-coding RNA (18 nucleotides) under Chlamydomonas reinhardtii. RNAcentral describes it as "small RNA Cre_3580". The record is from RNAcentral. Lineage: Eukaryota; Viridiplantae; Chlorophyta; Chlorophyceae; Chlamydomonadales; Chlamydomonadaceae.